RNAcentral lists this transfer RNA (61 nucleotides) under Cryptopygus antarcticus. Its description in RNAcentral is "tRNA-Val". The record is from RNAcentral. Lineage: Eukaryota; Metazoa; Arthropoda; Collembola; Entomobryomorpha; Isotomidae.
UGUGGUAGAGCUUGUUUAAGCGAAUCAUUUACAUUGAUUAGAACUUUAAUUUGUGCCGUAA